ACAGUCCCGGCUGGAAGUCACAGCCAGGGUGGGAUGCACACAGAUUAGCAGAUCAUCAGCGAGCACCAGAUAUGGCCGCCUUAAAAGAUGCAGAUGCUGUUGUGAUCAGCAUGAAGUUUCCCUGUGAGGCUGUGGUCAGCGUGGACAUCAGCCAGCACUGCACAGACAGCUGCGACCAGGACGUCAGCCAGCACUGCACAGACAGCUGCAACCAGGACGUCAGCCAGCACUGCACACACAGCUGCGACCAGGAUGUCAGCCAGCACUGCACAGACAGCUGCAACCAGAGACUGGAGGUGACGCCUGCCCUUUUCCACCCUUCGCCAGUCCACUGUGAAAAGCUGGGUUGAUUGUGCAGGUUAGAUAGAGGUCAUCAGCCAGGUUGAUUGUGUGGGUUAGAUAGAGAUCAUCAGCCUGGUGGAUUGUGUGGGUUAGAUAGAGAUCAUCAGCUGGGUUGAUUGUGCGGGUUAGAUAGAGGUCAUCAGCUUGGUUGAUUGUGCGGGUUAGAUAGAGAUCAUCAGCCUGGUUGAUUCUACAGGUUAGAUAGAGAUCAUCAGCUGGGUUUAUUGUGUGGGUUAGAUAGAGAUCAUCAGCUUGGUUGAUUGUGCGGGUUAGAUAGAGGUCGUCAGCCGGGUUGAUUGUGCGGGUUAGAUAGAGAUCAUCAGCCGGGUUGAUUGUGUGGGUUAGAUAGAGAUCAUCAGCCGGGUUGAUUGUGUGGGUUAGAUAGAGAUCAUCAGCCGGGUUGAUUGUGCGGGUUAGAUAGAGAUCAUCAGCCGGGUUGAUUGUGCGGGUUAGAUAGAGAUCAUCAGCCGGGUUGAUUGUGUGGGUUAGAUAGAGAUCAUCAGCCGGGUUGAUUGUGUGGGUUAGAUAGAGGUCAUCAGCCGGGUUGAUUGUGUGGGUUAGAUAGAGAUCAUCAGCCGGGUUGAUUGUGUGGGUUAGAUAGAGAUCAUCAGCCGGGUUGAUUGUGUGGGUUAGAUAGAGGUCAUCAGCAGGGUUGAUUGUGUGGGUUAGAUAGAGGUCAUCAGCCGGGUUGAUUGUGUGGGUUAGAUAGAGGUCAUCAGCCGGGUUGAUUCUGUGGGUUAGAUAGAGGUCAUCAGCUGGGUUGAUUGUGUGGGUUAGAUAGAGGUCAUCAGCCGGGUUGAUUGUGCGGGUUAGAUAGAGGUCAUCAGCUGGGUUGAUUGUGCGGGUUAGACAGAGGUCAUCAGCUAGGUUGAUUAUGUGGGUUAGAUAGAGGUCAUCAGCCGGGUUGAUUGUAUGGGUUAGAUAGAGGUCAUCAGCCGGGUUGAUUGUGUGGGUUAGAUAGAGAUCGUCAGCCGGGUUGAUUCCGCAGGUUAGAUAGAGGUCGUUAGCUGGGUGUGUGGGUCCCAAGGCAUGCUGCAGAUGGAGAAUCAGAAUUCCUUGGGCAUCACCGGGCGCGGCAUGUCCCUGUCCCUUCGCUCCCAGACCCAGGCUAGCCGCUACCAGGACUCCUAUCGAGAGCUCUUCAGACACUUUGUCAGAACCCUUAAAGGUGGGUGACGUUUUCAGGAGGAACCUGGGAUGUCCUGAUGCUCAAUGGGUAGAUGCCUUCCAGGCUGCAGUGAGUGCAGAUGAUAUGCCAAUUUCAGGUGGAAAAUUGCAUUCCAGAUACUGGGUUCAGAUUUGAAAUUGUCCAUCUCAGUGAUCAUUUACGUUGCGUGUACUUGAGGGAGAUUCUGAGAGAUGCUCCUUUGGGGUUCUGUGCGUGUACCAUGUUGCCUGACACGUCCUGAG
RNAcentral lists this long non-coding RNA (1752 nucleotides) under Pan troglodytes (chimpanzee). Its description in RNAcentral is "long non-coding RNA NONPTRT000822". Lineage: Eukaryota; Metazoa; Chordata; Mammalia; Primates; Hominidae. The record is from RNAcentral.